GUGUCAGCCGCCGCGGUAAUACGGAGGGUGCGAGCGUUAAUCGGAAUUACUGGGCGUAAAGCGCACGUAGGCGGUUAGGUAAGUCGGAUGUGAAAGCCCUGGGCUUAACCUGGGAACUGCAUUCGAUACUGCCUGGCUAGAGUAUGGGAGAGGGAAGCGGAAUUUCCGGUGUAGCGGUGAAAUGCGUAGAUAUCGGAAGGAACACCAAUGGCGAAGGCAGCUUCCUGGCCCAAUACUGACGCUCAGGUGCGAAAGCGUGGGGAUCAAACAGGAUUAGAUACCCGAGUAGUCC
Molecule: ribosomal RNA, 292 nt
Filed under: uncultured bacterium
Lineage: Bacteria
Description: partial 16S ribosomal RNA
Rfam family: Bacterial small subunit ribosomal RNA
Source: RNAcentral